UCCAAAGUUUAUUUUAACAUGUCGACAAUUAAAAUCGAGGUCAGGUAAUCAAAUUUCUAAACAGGGCUCCAAUAGAGAAUUAUUGCGCUUUGAACAUUCCAAUUACUUAAUCGAUUGUGUUCCCUUAAUUUUAAAUGGUUUUUGUUUACUACCAAGUAUAACGAGAAAAUACAAGGAUAAGGUGUCUCAUCUUCCCCUUAUAUUUUCGUAUGGUUUAUGUCUCGCAAACGGAGUAUUAAAUUCGUAAAACAUGUUGGUUGUUUUCAGAGUUAAUUGUUAAGAUCAUACUUUUAAGGAUCAUUUCUAUAGUGUGUAUCUUGAAAACGUCGUCAUAUUUUGACGAUACGACAACUGCGAUGAUGAGUCGCAGGAUUCUCCUCUGAGCAUGAAGCUUUACUGUUUGUAAGUUCAUUUGCAAACAGUGAUUGAGGAUUGUUUUCAUUGCUCUUUUAGCAAUGAAAGGAGGGGAAUUCUUGCCUAGCAUUUAUAUUUUGAAUUUAUUAAGUUGCAUGCGUUUUAUGUCACUCGGGUUUUUCGCGUCUUUUGGUGACGUUUUAAACAGUUUAUUUAAAAUUUCGGGCGUUGAAAACGAGGUCAGGUUAUUUAACAGAGCUCUUUAAAAGAGUUACUGCCGGUUAAACUUUGUAAUUAUAUCGUCGAUUGUGUUCUCGUCUUUGAAUGGUUUUUGUUUAUUACCAAAUGAGACAAGAAAGUACAAUGAAAAAGUGUCCCAUCUUCUCCCACUCGACUAUACGUUUUAAUAUCUUUCCGGAGUUAAAACACUAUACGUAUGGUUUAUGUCUCACAAACGGCAGAUUAAACUCGUAAAACAUGUUGGUUGUUUUAGAGUUGUUUGUUAAGAUCAUACUUUUAGGGAUCAUUUCUAUAGUGUGUAUCUUGAAAACGUCGUCAUAUUGUGACGAUACGACAACUGCGAUGAUGAGUCGCAGGAUUCCCCUCUGGAGCAUGAAGCUUUACUGUUUGUAGGUUCAUUUACAAACAGUGAUUGAGGAUUGUUUUCAUUGCUGAUCAGUUACAUUUUGUAUUUAUUAAGUUGCGUGCGUUCUAUUUCGCUCGGUUUUUUGACGUUUUUAGGUAACGUUUCCAAAGUUUAUUUUAAUAUGUCGACAAUUAAAAUCGAGGUCAGGUAAUCUAAUUUCUAAACAGGGCUCCAAUAGAGAAUUAUUGCGCUUUGAACAUUCCAAUUACUUAAUCGAUUGUGUUCCCUUAUUUUUGGAUGGUUUUUGUUUACUACCAAAUAUAACGAGAAAAUACAAGGAUAAGGUGUCUCAUCUUCCCCUUAUAUUUUCGUAUGGUUUAUGUCUCGCAAACGGCAGAAUAAACUCGUAAAACAUGUUGGUUGUUUUAGAGUUGUUUGUUAAGAUCAUACUUUUAGGGAUCAUUUAUACAGUGUGUAUCUUGAAAACGUCGUCAUAUUGUGCGAUGAUGAGUCGCAGGAUUUUCCUCUGAGCAUGAAGCUUUACUGUUUGUAAUUUUAUUUACAAACGGUAAUUGAGGAUUGUUUUCAUUGCUGUUGUAGUAAUGAAACGAGGAGAAUUCUUGCUGAGCAGUUACAUUUUGUAUUUAUUAAGUUGCAUGCGUUUUAUGUCACUCGGGUUUUUCGCGUCUUUUGGUGACGUUUUAAACAGUUUAUUUAAAAUUUCGGGCGUUGAAAACGAGGUCAGGUUAUUUAACAGAGCUC
Molecule: non-coding RNA, 1702 nt
Organism: Ciona intestinalis (vase tunicate)
Lineage: Eukaryota; Metazoa; Chordata; Ascidiacea; Phlebobranchia; Cionidae
Source: RefSeq, a predicted model, not a curated record